UAUUGGAAGAAUUUGUUUGCUGAUAACCAUCGCGAUACGCGAGCCCUUUCCCAGAAGAACCCUAACUCUCGACGAUAUUUUUCCAGGGGGUGCUACCUUGGAAAUGGUAUAGGGGUUGAGAGUGUGCCACAAAUAUCUUGGAACUACCCAGAAUUUUUUGUUCGUUACCCAAGCUUGUCAAAAGAAGUUUGUGUGGGUUUAAGGAGAAGAAACACUCACAAAACGACGACAUUCUGGAAACCCUAGGAGACUUCACAAGCAAAGAGAAUUGGGUCAAGUUCUUCACCCCCCGCAACGACUCCUUCGAGUGGUACGCGAAAUGGCCCAACCUCUGCGACCCUCUCCUCUCCCUCCUCCACACACUCUCCUCCUCUCAGUCCCACCCUCUCCCCCUUCCGCUCCUCGUCCCUGCCUACGAAAACUCCUACCUCUCCGAACACCUCUACGACGCCGGCAACACCGCCAUCACCAACGUCGACUUCUCCAAGGUUGUCAUCUCCGACAUGCUCCACCGCAAUGUCUGCGACCGUCCUCUCAUGCGGUGGCGCGUCAUGGACAUCACUGCCAUGAAGUUUGAGGAUGAGAGCUUUAGUGCGGUUAUUGACAAGGGUGGAUUGGAUGCGUUGAUGGAGCUCGGGCUCGGCUCCAAAUUGGGGAACUAGUACCUCUCCGAGACACUGGUCUUGGUUUUGGCGAAGGUGGUGGAUCAUCAGUGAGAGAGCUUUGUGCAAGGGAAAUGGCAAUUGUAUAUGAGCAACAUUACAUGACCAUUAGCCUUUUUGAAGGUACAACUCACAUCAUUGUUCUCUUGGAUAGGACAUAUGACAGAGCUUUGAGGCACAAACUUCUUUGACUUCUGAAGGUGUGUUUAAUUUUCCCUAACUUUGUCUUCUGAGUUGGAAGAACUAGGAACAAUUAAUUUGCUUUGCUAUAUAGAGUACUAAUAUUUUGGAAGGUAUUUGGAAAAAAAGAAAUUACAUUUUAAAUGUAGAUCUUUGUUGUUGCUAAUUGCAAUUUGUAAUAGGAUUGGUGCUCACUAUUGAUUUAAUGAUUAUCCUCAACAAAAUUUUUUUUAAAAGGCUCAAGGAAACAUUGUAGUACUAAUAUGUUAACUCUAUUGUUUGAAAUUUUAAAUCAACUAUGGUUUACUGAAUUUUAGGCAUUAAUGAAGGUUUUAUCAAAUGUAGAGGCUUGCGUUCUAGUUAGAGGUUGUGUAUUAGUUGUUGAUCUGCUAACUGUUGUCCAUGAAACUUCAGAGAGAACUUCUAUUCUGUUGCAAUCAAACUUAAUUGCUACUACUACUUUUAUGGGAACCACUUAAGGAAUGGACGUAUAUUGACAAAGAUGGUAUGAAACUUGGGCCUAUGGAAAAGAUGUUAUUAGAAGGCUGUGGUCCAAGAAGGCUAUUGAUUGGACAACAUGAUUUUUGGCUUCUGGGAUGCUAGAUUGGAAGAAGUUACAUGAUAUAUGUUAGAAUCAUGCUGCAGUUGGAAGAUAAUAUUGAUAAAUAGUUGUUUUUGUGAUGUUUUCCAUAGCUUCUUUUCUUCUCAUAUGCUAACCAACUUUUCUUUAAUCUUUUGUCAAUCUUCUUUUUUUGUUAGUCUAGAGAUGUGCUUAUUUAUAUUUGAAUGACUUGAUCUUUUUGGGGUACUUGUUAAGAUGAGAAACCAAUAUUAAGGUGCAUUUAUGUUGAAUCAUUCAUAACUAUAAGUAAGUAACGCGCAUAUUGUCAAGUGCACACUGCCUUCGUCAUAUUACACAGGUAAUUUUAGGAAUCAUUCAUGCUUAUAUUCUCUUUUAGAAUGAAUUAUUCUACCAAAGCUUUUUUUGUUUAGUUUUGCUUCCAGUAAGAAUACAUUUAUGCAUUUUAUAAUUUGUUAAAUUUAAUAUUCAGUUGGGAAAAAACUGUUAUUUUUAAUAUUCAGUUGCUUUGCUCAUCCUAAAGAAAAAAAAAUAACAUCCAUGUUGAGGUCUCAUUCGAUAGUGUAAUAUUAAUUUAUAUGGAUAUUACCAUAUUUUCAAUUCUUUUUUUGUGAUUUUUUUUUGAAAAAUAUGAAUUAAAGUGAAAACAAGUUGACAUCAUAUGAUUGCUUGCAAUUGGCUAGUGGGGGAAGUACAAUGAAGUGAUUGAAGAUAGUGCCCAUGAAUAUUUAUGAGAAAUGCUAAUGAUACUUAACACAUAUAUAUAAGCGGCAGGUAUUGUUGAUUUUUGUUUUGCUUCUAUUUGUCCUUCAACUUUUACUGAUCUUGCUCAACACUAUUAUUUUAAUUUAGGAUUGAUUUAAGUGAAUUUUUGUUUUAGGAUUUUAUACGUUUAGCUUUUGAGCUAGCUAUUCUGAAUAUCAUACGAUGACAUCAACCUGCAUUUCGUAAUUCACUUUAUGAGGGAUAAAAAAAAGCAAUGCAUGCCCUUAGGUUUGGCUAGAGAUGUUAUAGGUUUAAUUCCUGAUGUAUUAAAAGAUAAAAGAAACAUCUUGCAUCGAAAUAUUAAGCAAGGUGAAUUUGUAUAUGUUGUACACUGGGAUAUUUCUCUACCACCCUGUCAUACCAAUUAUAUUUUCAAAACAUUUACAUUUUUUUGUCUAAUUUAGAUUUACGCAUAUUUACAUUCCAAAUUUCAAGUAUUUCAUUUUAAUUUGCAUUCUUCUCUUUAUUCUUCUUAAACUUUCUUUUAAUUUGGAUUGCUUUUAAUUUCCUUACAAAAAUUUACGGUUUUAUCAUUGUAAUUGCCUGAAAUUUGAUUGCUUUUCUUUAGAUUUUUACAUUUACUUUUCAAAGUUCAUUUACAUUUACGAGUAUAUGAU
Molecule: non-coding RNA, 2804 nt
Organism: Cajanus cajan (pigeon pea)
Lineage: Eukaryota; Viridiplantae; Streptophyta; Magnoliopsida; Fabales; Fabaceae
Source: RefSeq, a predicted model, not a curated record